This 5463-nucleotide long non-coding RNA is filed under the name Homo sapiens (human). RNAcentral's name for it is "non-protein coding lnc-SLC33A1-1:1". Lineage: Eukaryota; Metazoa; Chordata; Mammalia; Primates; Hominidae. The record is from RNAcentral.
GCUGCUGCCGGAUUUGCCUGCUACCUUGGAUGACUUCGGGAGGCUGGCGGCACCGAAGAGGCCUCCUGAGAGCUGGGCCCCUGGCGGAACUCUUAGCCGGUGGCGUGGCCUUAUCUCAGGUUGCUGGACAUGAAGGAGGCCAAGGCUGCUUUGGAAAGUUCCGUGGCCAUAUCUCAAGGAUGUCAUUGUAGGAACUGAUCACUUAGAUACUUCAAAAGUUAUACAGCUCCCCACAAAUACAGCAGGUGCAGUAUUUCCAAAGAAAAGGGAGUUUGGGAGUGGUAAUCUGGUGAGCAGCUGGCCCAGGGAACUGGUCGUGAAGCUCUGUUUGCACAACAGUGUUUUUAUUGGAAUUGUUUGUGGGGAAGGGGCUGCAGUCCCUCCACCUACCCCUUGGCAACCAUCAUGAUGAUGAGGUGUUACUUUGAAUUUGGUUACCUAGAGGCCUAAAUCGAGAUUGGGGUAUAAAGAAUAAUACUUGAGAUGGCUUCCAGCUAACAAAGCCUUUCCACAAAUAUUUUUAUUAUAAUACAGCCAACAUUUUGCUGCAGUCAUUCUUGUGUCAGACUGUAGCUAGGGUAUUAAGGAGCCAGAGUGAGAAAAUACUUUAAAAGCUAACUUUAACCAAUCCCGUGAAAGUAGUAAGGUAGGAUUGAUGUUCUUAUCCUUUUUACAAAUGAGGAAAUUGAGGCUUAGUGAGAUAAUGUGCCUCUCAGUAUAUAUAGAAUGUAAGGCCUGCCCAAUCUGGGAAAGUGUAGACAGUUUAUUAGUGAAAUAUUUACAAAAACGAAAGGCUUAAGGUCCUAGUGGGCCUGAGACUUAAGUAUUUCGCUUACCUUUUUUUGAACGGAAAAUUGAAUAUUUGAACUCUCCAAAGCCAUGGAUACUGGCUUCUCUGGGUAGGUCUGUAUGCACAAUCUAAAGAAGAGUGCAGUAACCAAUAGGAGAACCUCAACUUACAUAAACAUCCACCCCUAAUGGAGUGGAAUGUGAUGUGAUAUACUGGCAUUAAGGAUUGGCUAAGUCCCAUCUAUCUUAAACAAUGCUUAGUUUAAAUAUAUUCUAGGCUGGGCGUGGUGGCUCACACCUGUAAUCCCAGCACUUUGGGAGGCCUAGGCGGGUGGAUUACCUGAGGUCAGAGUUCCAGAACAGGCUGGCCAACAUCAUGAAACCUGUCUCUACUAAAAAUACAAAAAUUAGCCAGGCGUGGUGGCAUGCGCCUAUAAUCCCAGCUACUCGGGAGGCUGAGGCAGGAGAAUCGCUUGAACCCGGGAGGUGGAGGUUGCAGGGAGCCAAGAUCAUGCCAUUGCACACCAGCCUGGGUGACAACAGCGAAACUCCAUCUCAAAAUAAACAAAUAAAUAAAUAAAUUCUAGUGGUCACCUGUGCUUAAUGGCUAAGAAUGUUGGCAUGCACACAAUAUAGGAUCCUGAUAUUCUUUCUUCUUUAGCUUCUGACUCUAUUGACCCAUCCCUCUUUGUUGAAACUGGAUUUUCCUUAAAAUGCACCAAAAAGUUGUCUUUUUAUCUCUGUGAUUGCUCUUGGUUGCCUUUGCUAGCUCCUUUUCCUAUGUCUGGCCUUCAGGAGCUUUAAGUGUUGGAUUUCUUCAGUAUUUCUAUUCCUAAUCCUUUUCUCAUCUUACUCUUCCUUGGAGCACUUGUUUAAAAAUACAGACUUGUUGGCCAGGUGCGGUGGCUCACACCUGUAAUCCCAGCACUUUGACAGGCCAAGGCAGGUGGAUCACCUGAGGUCAGGAGUUCGAGACCAGCUUGGCCAACAUGGUGAAACCCUGUCUCUACUUAAAAAUACAAAAAAUUAGCCAGGUGUGGUGGUGGACACCUGUAAUCCAGCUACUUGGGAGGCUGAGGCAGGAGAAUUCUUGAACCUGGGAGGUGGAGGUUGCAGUGAGCCAAGAUCGUGCCACUGCAUUCCAGCCUGGGCAACAAGAGUGAAACUCCACCUCAAAAUAAAUAAAUAAAUAAAAUACGGACUUGUUAAAAUACCCUUAAUAUGCUCUAUGUUUUAACAACUCUGUUCUGUGCUCCAGACCCAGAUAACUAUAUUCAUCCUCAGUUCAAUUGUCAGUGUCAUAUUAGGCCCCAAACUCAACAAGUUCAAAACAAAACUUCUUUCCCAAACUUCUUAUUGACACUCACUUUUUAUUUUUCUUUUUUUUUUUAGAUGGAGUUUCGCCCUUGUUGCCCAGGCUGGAGUGCAGUGGCACAAUCUCAGCUCACUGCAACCUCCACCUCCUGGGUUCAAGCAAUUCUCCUGCCUCAGCCUCCCGAGUAGCUGGGAUUACAGGCCCCCCCCAACCAUCAUACCUGGCUACUCACUGACACUUAUUAGGGAGAAAACAUUCAGUCUCUCACCAAUAACCUGUAGGUUUUCAUAGAUGCCCUUUAUCAAGUUGAGGAAGUUUCCUUCUGUUCCUAUUUUGCUGAGAGUUUUGGUCAAGAAUGGAUGCUGUCAAAUGCUUUCUCUGUGGCUAUUCAAAUGACUAUAUAGUUUUUCUUUUUUCAGUUUUUGAAUGUGUUAAAUUACAGUCAUUGCUUUUUUUGUUUAUUUGUUUUGAGAUGGAGUUUCACUCUUGUCGCCUAGGCUGAAGUGCAAUGGUGCAAUCUUGGCUUACUGCAAUCUCUACCUCCUGGGCUCAAGCAAUUCUCCUGCCUCAGCCUCCCGAGUAGCUGGGAUUACAGAUGUGUGCCACCACACCCAGCUAAUUUUUGUAUUACUAGUAGAGACCGCGUUUCACCAUGUUGGCCAGGCUGGUCUCGAACUCUGACCUCAAGUGAUCUUCCCGCCUCAGCCUCCCAAAGUGCUGGGAUUACAGGCAUGAGCCACUGUGCCCGGCCCUGUUUCAUAUAUUUUGUCUGAGUUUUUUUGUUUGUUUCAGGCAGGAGGGUAAAUCCAAUCCCUGUUACCUCCUCUUUGACAGAAGCAGAAGUCUGGAAAUCUUUUUUUGUUGUUGUUGUUCCUGUAGAUCCAUGCCUGCUGAAUGGAAGUCUCUUUUAAUGAUACAUUGAGGCAGCUUAAACCUACAAGGUCUUCCUUCUUUACCUGUCAUAUAAAUAUUUUUGUUAAGGGACAAAGUUGCCUUGAAUUCAAAAAACGUAGGCAGCAUAGAACAGUGAUGUUGAGUCCUUUAAAUGCAAUUGUAUGAUUUCUAGGACCAAUACAUUUUUUCAAAAUACAGUUGCUAAAACCCACAGAUAGAAAUUUCAUACAAUGUUUCAGAUUUGGUAUGUAUCAUGUCAUAAAAUAUGUAUUUCAGGAAUAAUACAUGGUUACCUUAUUUCAUCUUUCAAAAUGUUUAAUAUUUUCAACCUCCCAUUAACAAAAAAUUAGCUUUUAAACUUAUGAGAAAUAUUAGUUGUUAAGAUGUGGAAGGAGGUACACAGUUUUGCAAAAUUCUUUUAGGGCAGUAUGUGAGUAUGUGAGAUUUUUUUUUUUUUUUUGGGGGGUGGACAGAAUCUCACUCUGUUGCCUAGGCUAGAGUGCAGUGGCACAAUCUCGGCUCACUGCAACCUCUGCGUCCUGGGUACAAGCCAUUCUUCUGCCUCAGCCUCCCAAGUAGCUGGAAUUACAGGUGCGCAGCACCAUGCCUGGCUAAUUUUUUUUUUUUUUUUUUUUGAGACAGAGUCUCGCUCUUGCCACCCAGGCUGGAGUGCAAUGGUGCGAACUUGGCUCACCGCACCCUCCACCUCCUGGGUUCAAGUGAUUCUCCUGCCUCAGCCUCCUGUGUAGCUGGGAUUACACCUGUGCACCGCUAUGUCUGGCUAAUUUUUUUGUAUUUUUAGUGAAGAUGGGGCUUUGCCAUGUUGGCCAACCUGGUCUCAAACUCCUGACCUCAAGUGAUCCACCCGCCUUGGCCUCCCAAAGUGUUGGGAUUACAAGCAUGAGCCACUGUGCCCAGCAAAAACUUUUUUUUAAUUGAAGACAACCAUUCUAAAAUACAAAUGUGAUCAUUUUAUGGCUCCCCACAGCUCUCAGGAAGAACUCCAAACUUCUAGCAUUUCUUAUUAGGCACUUGGAGGUUUGGCUAGCCCUUGUUUACCUUGCAGCCUGCUCUCUUACCACUGCCCCCAUCACUCUACUCUCUAGCCAUAUUAAACUGCUUCAACUCCAUAAACAUGACAUGUUCUGUCUUGACGUGGGCCUUUUGUACAUAAAUAUCUUCUGUGUGGAGUAUUUCUGAUUCCCUCCCCACAACUCUGAAGUCUUGGGUUACAUGUCUCCUCCUCUUGUGAUCCCAUAACCCUUUCCUCUUCAUUAAUACUUGCCACCUUCUACUUUUUUUGUUUUUGUUUUUGUUUUGUUUUGUUUUUGAGAUGGAGUCUCGCUCUGUUGCCCAGGCUGGAAUGCAGUGGCGCAAUCUCGACUCACUGCCACCUCCACCUCCAGGGUUCAAGCAAUUCUCCUGCCUCAGCCUCCCAAAUAGAUGGGACUACAGGCGUGCAUCACCAUGCCUGGCUAAUUUUGUAUUUGUAGUAGAGAUAGGGUUUCAACAUGUUGGCCAAGCUAGUCUCGAACUCCUGACCUCGGGUGAGCCACCUUCCUCAACCUCCCAAAGUGCUGGGAUUACAGGCCUGAGCCACCGUGCCUGGCCUAGAUAUUACUAUACUCUUGUCACCCUUUUAUGAUUGAGAAAACAGAGAAAUUAACUAGCCUGAGGCCUGAGCCCACAUAGGUAGUAAACCACAGAACUGAGAUUCAAACCAAGCUAACUGGUUCUAGCCUUUAUAUUGUUUGUUAAACAUUCCAAGUAUACUUAACCAAUCUCAAAAGGCACAAGCAUCACUGGGAAAAUUUUCUUUUUCUUUUCUUUUUUUUUUGGACGGAGUCUCACUCUGUCGUCCAGGCUGGAGUACAGUGGCACGAUCUCAGCUCACUGCAACCUCCAACUCUUGGGCUCAAGCAAUUCUCCUGCCUCAGCCUCCCAGGCAGCUGGGAUUACAGGCACCCACCAUCAUGCCUGGCUAAUUUUUUGUAUUUUUAGUAGAGACAGGGUAUCACCAUGUUGGUCAGGCUGGUCUUGAACUCCCGACCUCAGGUGAUCCGCCAGCCUCGGCCUCCCAAAGUGCUGGGAUUACAGGCGUGAGCCACCGCUCCUGGCCUCUUUUUUUUUUUUUUUUUUAGACAGAGUCUCGCUCUGUUACCCAGGCUGGAGUGCGGUGAUGUGAUCUCAGCCCACUGCAACCUCCCUUGCCCUGGUUCAAGCGAUCCUCCUACCUGAGCCUCUGGAGUAGCUGGGACUAUAGGCACACACCACCUCACUAGGCUAAUUUUUUGUAUUUUUAGUAGAGACAGGGUUUCACCAUGUUGGCCAUGCUGGUCUCAAACUCCUGACCUCAGGUGAGCCGCAGGCCUCGGCCUCCCAGAGUGUUGGGAUUACAGGUGUGGGCGACUGUGCCCAGCCUCAAGGCCCAGAUUUCUAAACUGAAAGUAAAAUAUCUGGAGUAC